UGAAUACGAGACGCUACGGCGUCGAAGCAGUCUAUGUCAUACUUCCAAGAAAAGCUUGCACUGUCAUAAACAAAUAAUGCCUGUACCAUAACCGACACAGGUGGGUAGGUAGAGUAUACUAAGGGGCGCGAGAUAACUCUCUCUAAGGAACUCGGCAAAAUGACUCCGUAACUUCGGGAGAAGGAGUGCCUUAUUUAUAAGGUUGCAAUAACAAGAUCCAAGCAACUGUUUAUCAAAAACACAGGUCUCCGCUAAGUCGUAAGACGAUGUAUGGGGGCUGACGCCUGCCCAGUGCCAGAAGGUUAAAGAAGUUGGUUAGCAUUAGCGAAGCUGAUAACUGAAGCCCUGGUGAACGGCGGCCGUAACAAUAACGGUCCUAAGGUAGCGAAAUUCCUUGUCGGGUAAGUUCCGACCCGCACGAAAGGCGUAAUGAUUUGGAUACUGUCUCGGAGAGGGGCUCGGUGAAAUAGACUUGUCUGUGAAGAUGCGGACUACCUGCACCUGGACAGAAAGACCCUAUGAAGCUUUACUGUAACCUGAAAUUGAAAUUGGACUUUAUUUGCGCAGUAUAGGUGGGAGGCGUUGAGAAUAUUCUUGCGGGAAUAUUGGAGCCAUCAGUGAGAUACCACUCUUGUAAUGUUAGAUUUCUAACUUUGGAUCAUUAUCUGGUCAAAGAACAGUUUCAGGCGGGCAGUUUGACUGGGGCGGUCGCCUCCUAAAUGGUAACGGAGGCGCACAAAGGUUUCCUCUGAACGGGUAGAAAUCGUAUCUAGAGUGUAAAGGCAUAAGGAAGCUUGACUGUGAGACCUACAAGUCGAGCAGGGACGAAAGUCGGUCUUAGUGAUCUGACGGUGCUGAGUGGAAAGGCCGUCACUCAACGGAUAAAAGUUACUCUAGGAUAACAGGCUGAUCUCCCCCAAGAGUUCACAUCGACGGGGAGGUUUGGCACCUCGAUGUCGGCUCAUCGCAUCCUGGGGCGGUAGUACGUCCCAAGGGUUGGGCUGUUCGCCCAUGAAAGCGGUACGCGAGCUGGGUUCAGAACGUCGUGAGACAGUUCGGUCCAUAUCCGGUGUAGGCGUUAGAAUAUUGAGAGGAGCCUUCUUUAGUACGAGAGGACCGAGAAGGACAUACCUCUGGUGUACCAGUUAUCGUGCCAACGGUAAACGCUGGGUAGCUAUGUAUGGAGAGGAUAACCGCUGAAAGCAUCUAAGUGGGAAGCCCACCUCAAGAUAAGUA
Molecule: ribosomal RNA, 1236 nt
Filed under: metagenome
Description: bacterial LSU rRNA
Rfam family: Bacterial large subunit ribosomal RNA
Source: RNAcentral